AGUUAGACACACUUUAUUAGAUUACUCAUAUUAGUCUACCCUAGAGAAGGCUCUGAAAAAUGGAGGGAGUAAUGUAGCAGUCAUGCUUCCUAGAACUAUCAAUUUCCAGAAACAUACUUUGCUUUGCCUAUGAAAAAACAAACAAAAUAUCUUGUCAGAUCAUUAGUUGCAUUUUGAUAUGUGAUUAAUAAAAAAUAGUAAUAAUAAUUAACAACCAUAUUGUGUUUAAAGAUUUGUAAAGUUCUGUACUUUGUGAAGAUUGGAUUUAGCUAUCUCCCAUUGUUACAAUGAAGGUACUUAGCUCUUCCUUUAUUGGGAAAAUUGAAUUGUAAAUCCCUAUCUAUUUUUAGAUUUUAAUCCCCCAAAGUGUUAACUCAGUAUUUAAAGUAGAUCUAUCCAUUUUAACUACAAAAGGUGUGAUCUAACCAAAACAGGUAUGAACACCCAUUUCAUGCAUUGAGUGGAGGUCUGUGACCACCUGUGAAAGAAUGUGUAGCCCUGGAGAGGAGCAUCUGCUGUGAUUGGUAGACAUGAAAUUUAGAGGAGGUGACACAAGAGAAAAAGAUCUUUAAAGAACCACAGAGGCCAGAUAGAUGGAAGAACUCUGAUGUGGAGUUGGCCUGGAGGAUCAGUUUCUUGAGCUUAGGAGAGACUGGAAUACAGACACUCCGACUUAGCUGUGGAACUUGACCCUGGAGGAGUUCGUGCAGGAGACCUCAGACUGCUAUCUUUUUAGGCCGUCACUGUGAUAUAGAGACAGAGAAAGGAAGGAAGGAAAAAAAGAAAGGAGGCAUGGAGUGUGUAGGGACUGGAAUGAAGCUGAAAAUAAAACUCCUUGAGGGAAGGGGCUGUCUUUUGCCUCUCUUUGUAUCCCCAGGCACGUAGCA
This 887-nucleotide long non-coding RNA is filed under the name Monodelphis domestica (gray short-tailed opossum). RNAcentral's name for it is "lncRNA (ENSMODG00000036314.2)". Lineage: Eukaryota; Metazoa; Chordata; Mammalia; Didelphimorphia; Didelphidae. The record is from RNAcentral.